CAGUUCUGCCCCUUUUCCACCGGCUCUACUGCCUCUUUUCAACCCGGCUUUGCUCGGCUCUGUUUCACAGUGACCACGUUUCCACCGGCCCAACUUGGCUCUUUAUGGCAGGGUGCCGCCUGCAGGCACCAUGUGCUGUGCUUCGUUACAUGCAAGUUGUUUUUCUGAUACAAAAGAAGAAGAGAGAACUGAGCUAUUUUUUUUAUAGCCUGAUUGGGAUUUUUCUGAGAUUUCAAGAAAAUGCACCGGUGGGAGGAAUGCUGCGAUGUGGUGAGAAGGAGCUGAUCUUCACCUUGCAGGGGGAGGAAAGCAGGUGACUCAGACGGUGCAGAUGUUGGUAAACUGUCGCUGCAGACCAUCAUGGUUCUUCGUGCUCCUCUGAGUUGUAGGACGUCUCAUCAGUGUCCGUCUUCCUGACUGGGUCGGUGUUUACCUUCAGGAUGUCUGGAGCAGGGAUCACAUGAGCUCAAUAUGCUGAUGAAACAUUUCUGAUUUAAAAAAUGUGUCUGAUGUUCUUAUAGAGUAGAAGUGCAUUAACAAUCUGUAGUUUUGAACUUCAAUAGUUUAAUUAUGAUUCACCUGAUGUCCAAGUUAUAUUGAGAACAAAUAAAGCUGUAUUCCAUCUAA
This is a long non-coding RNA of Poecilia reticulata (guppy), 627 nucleotides long. RefSeq lists it as uncharacterized. The record is from RefSeq and is a predicted model, not a curated record. NCBI's taxonomy places the organism in Eukaryota, Metazoa, Chordata, Actinopteri, Cyprinodontiformes, Poeciliidae.